Molecule: long non-coding RNA, 391 nt
Organism: Carassius gibelio (silver crucian carp)
Lineage: Eukaryota; Metazoa; Chordata; Actinopteri; Cypriniformes; Cyprinidae
Exons: 4
Source: RefSeq, a predicted model, not a curated record
AAAAUUUACAAAAGCAGUCUACAAACUUGUAGCAAACCUUUACAAACCUUCUUUAAUUGCAGGCUGAGCUGGAUACUGAACAAAAGAGUGAGCCUCGACAGUUACAAGGUUUGCGCUGAGUUUCACCAUAUCAGAGAAAGUAGCAAACACCAGCAAGAUUUCACAGAUGUUGCAUGACCUUCUAAAUGUUGGAUCUUCAGGAGCCAUGCUCUCCUAGUGUAUGUGUGAGGAGAACUGUUCUUCAGGACAUGAAAUGAGGAACUGGGCAAGCCAGACAUCACUGACAAACACCUCUCCUGUUGAUUUUGUUAUCAUGGACAACGAAACCACUACAAGUCCAGCAAGCUCUGCAGUUGUGAUGAGAUGAUCUUCCAGUGUUUGACAUUCAAAA